GACGAACGCUGGCGGCGUGCUUAACACAUGCAAGUCGAACGGAAAGGCCCUGCUUUUGUGGGGUGCUCGAGUGGCGAACGGGUGAGUAACACGUGAGUAACCUGCCCUUGACUUUGGGAUAACUUCAGGAAACUGGGGCUAAUACCGGAUAGGAGCUCCUGCUGCAUGGUGGGGGUUGGAAAGUUUCGGCGGUUGGGGAUGGACUCGCGGCUUAUCAGCUUGUUGGUGGGGUAGUGGCUUACCAAGGCUUUGACGGGUAGCCGGCCUGAGAGGGUGACCGGCCACAUUGGGACUGAGAUACGGCCCAGACUCCUACGGGAGGCAGCAGUGGGGAAUAAUGCACAAUGGGCGGAAGCCUGAUGCAGCAACGCCGCGUGCGGGAUGACGGCCUUCGGGUUGUAAACCGCUUUCGCCUGUGACGAAGCGUGAGGGACGGUAAUGGGUAAAGAAGCACCGGCUAACUACGUG
Molecule: ribosomal RNA, 468 nt
Filed under: uncultured bacterium
Lineage: Bacteria
Description: partial 16S ribosomal RNA
Rfam family: Bacterial small subunit ribosomal RNA
Source: RNAcentral